This 2379-nucleotide long non-coding RNA is filed under the name Homo sapiens (human). RNAcentral's name for it is "HSALNT0034774". The record is from RNAcentral. Lineage: Eukaryota; Metazoa; Chordata; Mammalia; Primates; Hominidae.
CCGGAACUCGUGCUGGCCCGCAAGCGCCGCACGCAGCCCCGGUUCCCACCCGCGCCUCUACCUCCACACAUCCCGGCAAGCUGAGGGAGCCGGCUCCGUCCUUGGCCAGCCCACAAAGGGGCUCCCACAGUGCAGCGGCGGGCUGAAGGGCUGCCAAAGUGGGAGCCCAGGCAGAGGAGGCGCCGAGAGCGAGCGAGGGCUGCGAGGACUGCCAGCAUGCUGUCACCUGUCACGGGUGACUGGAAGGCAGCUGUAUUUAAAUUUCUAUAAAGAUCAGAUCCUCUAUGGACAUCUUUUACUGAGUAACAAAUCUGAAGAAAACAUGGUGAUAAGAAGAAAGAUGCUCCUCCCGCCCCACACAUGCCCAGAUAUCCAGCUUACAGCAAGCAAGGAAGUGGGAACCCCAGUUCCACAGUAACAAGGAAUUGAAUUCUGAACAACAACCUGAAUGAGCAGGGAAACACAUCCUCUCUUGGAACCUCCUGAGAAGAAACAGCCCUAUGGACACUUUGCCUUUAGCCAGAUGAGACCCAUGUCAGAAUUCUGACCUCUGAACUCUACAACAGCACAUUUGUGUGUGUGUUUUAUUUUUUUAACUACAAAGUGUGUGGUAAUUUGUUCCAGCAAUGAUAGAAAGUUAAUACAAACAGUCUGUUAAAUACUUGAUUUUAUGUCUGAGAAAUCUGAGCCUACAGAGAUUCAAUGGCUUACCCUAGCCAGGUAGUGACAGGGUUUCCAAAUUCUUGAUCUCUUCCCAAGAGUGCUUUCUUGUUUUGAAUCAUCCAAUCCAUUCUAAUCUAAGCAGUCUGGAUACAGUCAAGCCAGAUCAAAUCAUAUGCCUCUGUGCCUAUAAUUCAGGCAUGACUCCUUUCGUGCUUUAAAAUUCUCAUUCUAGUUUGGCGUCCGCACCUUCUCUUACUUCACCCAAUACCCAUCUCACCGCACUCCUUGCAGCAUGGUGCUGCUCCAUUUCAGGGUCAUGCCUUCUGCUCACCUUAUGGUAAUGCUUUCCUCUUGCUUGUCCUGAGGACAUAAGAGCUAUCACUCUCCAAGUUCUCAGCAUGGCUGCUGAAUUCUCAUAAUUCAAGUAUCAGUUUAAAUAUCAGUUCCAUAGAGAAACUGUCUAGACUUAGAUUCCUUAAAUCACCACUCAUCUCUGUCAUUUCAAGCUUUUCAAUCUAUGUUUGUUUCUCCUCUCCUUUAUUAUCUUCUUCUUCCUCUAGCAUCUGAUAACUAUGGUAUGGAGACUUUAUCUCAUAUGAAUCAGUAACAUUGGUAUAUAAGUGUCUGAUAAAAAUAUCUACUGUGAAAAUAUCUAGUAAAAUAAUUUCUGGCUCCUAGUUCAAGGCUGUUAGCUACUGAACUUUGCCAGUUACAUUAAUUGUGACUGGCAUUCACACCCCACAUUAUAAUGCCUGUUAUUAUUAAAGGAAUCUACUUGUGUUCAUUUAUUGACUUUAUAUUAAGUAAAAGUAAUAAAUAUAAACUUAUAAAAUGUACUGACACAAAGUACCAUUUUUAUCUGUUUCAAGUGUUAGAAAUUGACACACUUAUUUUUAUCAUUUUUAGCUCCUGCUAGAAUAAAACACGGUAUUUGUGGCUAUAAAUAUAGGAUAACUUACUAAAAGAAACAUGUUAGUAACAUUAUUCUGGCAUAUUCCAAAAUAUUCAGUGAAUAAGUAAAAGCUCAAAGACGAGCUGUCCAGACUGUACUAUGUUUAUUUAGACAGAAGUAAAAUACUGCCCAGGUCCAGAGAGAUCAAUGGGAAAGAAAAGAAGGAUGAUGGACCUUUAGUCAAAAGGGGAGAAGAACUACGGGUACAGAUUAUAAUAGGAUUCAUUACAGGUUAUAACAUCAGUGAAGAAGGGCAGUGACUCAGUUGUGUACAUGAAAAUAAAAUAAAUUGCUUGAUUAAUUCACAGUAGUUAUACAAAACUGACUUAUAUGAAGUAUUUAUGCUUUAGAAAGCUUCCUAUUACAAAUAUUCAAGUGAAUAAAAAUGAACUAAUGUAUCUCUAAAGUAAUUAUUGGGGAACUCAGACAAUUAUCUAAUUAUCUUGAAACAAAUUUGUUGAAUGUUUGAAAUUAUUAUAGUUUAAGUUGCAAAUUGCUCAGAAGUCUGUUAUUUUUAUUACUAUUACUGAGAUAUAACUUUAAACAAUGUUUUUUUUCUAAAAAGAGAGGGUAAUGUUACUGUGUUUCACUAGUUCCAUUGUAAAUAAAUGUUACUUUUUGACUAUCUCUUGCUUUAAAAGAUUCAUUUCUUUAAAAUUUUACAUCUAUAAUUUUACAACAAUUUUGUCUACUUGAAUAUUUCUAAUACUUAUGAUAAACAUUGUUUAGGUUAUUCAUAUAUAUCUUCAUAUCAUUCAUUCAAU